CCUACGGGGGGCAGCAGUGAGGAAUAUUGGUCAAUGGUCGGGAGACUGAACCAGCCAAGCCGCGUGAGGGAGGAAGGUACAGAGUAUCGUAAACCUCUUUUGUCAGGGAACAAAGGCGGGGACGUGUCCCCGGAUGAGUGUACCUGAAGAAAAAGCAUCGGCUAACUCCGUGCCAGCAGCCGCGGUAAUCCGGAGGAUGCGAGCGUUAUCCGGAUUUAUUGGGUUAAAAGGGUGCGCAGGCGGUCUGUUAAGUCAGCGGUCAAAGCCCGGGGCUCAACCCCGGCCCGCCGUUGAAACGGGCAGGCUCGAGUUGGAGAGAAGUAUGCGGAAUGCGCGGUGUAGCGGUGAAAUGCAUAGAUAUCGCGCAGAACUCCGAUUGCGAAGGCAGCAUGCCGGAUCCACACUGACGCUGAGGCACGAAAGCGUGGGUAUCGAACAGGAUUAGAUACCCCUGUAGUC
Molecule: ribosomal RNA, 459 nt
Filed under: uncultured bacterium
Lineage: Bacteria
Description: partial 16S ribosomal RNA
Rfam family: Bacterial small subunit ribosomal RNA
Source: RNAcentral